CAGAAUAUAAUUUAAUUAAAAAUAUAAACUUUGGAAGUUUAAAUUGGUAAAUACCUUUUCUGA
RNAcentral lists this transfer RNA (63 nucleotides) under Okanagana bella. RNAcentral describes it as "tRNA-Pro". RNAcentral also lists the same sequence under 1 other name. Lineage: Eukaryota; Metazoa; Arthropoda; Insecta; Hemiptera; Cicadidae. The record is from RNAcentral.